RNAcentral lists this ribosomal RNA (898 nucleotides) under Usnea lapponica. Its description in RNAcentral is "eukaryotic LSU rRNA". It matches the Rfam family "Eukaryotic large subunit ribosomal RNA", at positions 1 to 935 of the family's 3401-position model. The record is from RNAcentral. Lineage: Eukaryota; Fungi; Ascomycota; Lecanoromycetes; Lecanorales; Parmeliaceae.
GACCUCGGAUCAGGUAGGGAUACCCGCUGAACUUAAGCAUAUCAAUAAGGGAGGAAAAGAAACCAACAGGGAUUGCCUCAGUAACGGCGAGUGAAGCGCAACAGCUCAAAUUUGAAAUCUGGCCCCGUCGGGGUCCGAGUUGUAAUUGUAGAGAGUGUUUCGGGUGAGACCACGGUCUAAGUCUGUUGGAACAUGGGUCAUAGAGGGUGAGAAUCCCGUAUGUGACCGUGGCUCGAGCCCAUGUGAGCCUCUUCGACGAGUCGAGUUGUUUGGGAAUGCAGCUCAAAAUGGGUGUAAAUUUCAUCUAAAGCUAAAUACUGGCUGGAGACCGAUAGCGCACAAGAGAGUGAUCGAAAGAUGAAAAGCACUUUGGAAAGAGAGUCAAAAAGUACUGAAAUUGUUGAAAGGGAAGCGCUUGCAACCAGACCUGUCCGUAGGUGACAGCCGCUGUUCUCAGUGGUGCACUCGCUCUGCGAUCAGGCCAGCAUCGUUCCGGCGGUCGGAUAAAGGCCUUGGGAAUGUAGCUCCCUUCGGGGAGUUUAUAGCCCUCGGUGCAAUGCGGCCAGCCGGGACCGAGGACCGCGCUUCGCUAGGAUGCUGGCGUAAUGGUUGUAAGCGACCCGUCUUGAAACACGGACAAGGAGUCUAACAUCUAUGCGAGUGUUUGGGUGUUAAACCCAUGCGCGAAUGAAAGUGAACGGAGGUGAGAACCCUUUAGGGCGCAUCAUCGACCGACCAGAUGUCUUCGGAUGGAUUUGAGUAUGAGCAUAGCUGUUGGGACCCGAAGAUGGUGAACUACGCCUGAAUAGGGUGAAGCCAGAGGAAACUCUGGUGAGGCUGGCAGCGGUUCUGACGUGCAAAUCGAUCGUCAAAUUUGGGUAUGGGGCGAAAGACUAAU